RNAcentral lists this ribosomal RNA (253 nucleotides) under uncultured bacterium. RNAcentral's name for it is "partial 16S ribosomal RNA". It matches the Rfam family "Bacterial small subunit ribosomal RNA", at positions 524 to 776 of the family's 1533-position model. The record is from RNAcentral.
UACGUAGGGUGCAAGCGUUAAUCGGAAUUACUGGGCGUAAAGCGUGCGCAGGCGGUUUUGUAAGUCUGUCGUGAAAGCCCCGGGCUCAACCUGGGAAUGGCGAUGGAGACUGCAAGGCUAGAGUGUGUCAGAGGGGGGUAGAAUUCCACGUGUAGCAGUGAAAUGCGUAGAGAUGUGGAGGAACACCGAUGGCGAAGGCAGCCCCCUGGGAUAACACUGACGCUCAGGCACGAAAGCGUGGGGAGCAAACAGG